This 446-nucleotide ribosomal RNA is filed under the name uncultured bacterium. RNAcentral describes it as "partial 16S ribosomal RNA". It matches the Rfam family "Bacterial small subunit ribosomal RNA", at positions 338 to 795 of the family's 1533-position model. The record is from RNAcentral.
CCUACGGGAGGCUGCAGUCGAGAAUCAUUCACAAUGGGGGAAACCCUGAUGGUGCGACGCCGCGUGGGGGAAUGAAGGUCUUCGGAUUGUAAACCCCUGUCAUGUGGGAGCAAAUUAAAAAGAUAGUACCACAAGAGGAAGAGACGGCUAACUCUGUGCCAGCAGCCGCGGUAAUACAGAGGUCUCAAGCGUUGUUCGGAAUCACUGGGCGUAAAGCGUGCGUAGGCUGUUUCGUAAGUCGUGUGUGAAAGGCGCGGGCUCAACCCGCGGACGGCACAUGAUACUGUGCGACUAGAGUGAUGGAGGGGGAACCGGAAUGCUCGGUGUAGCAAUGAAAUGCGUAGAGAUCGAGAGGAACACUCGUGGCGAAGGCGGGUUCCUGGACAUUAACUGACGCUGAGGCACGAAGGCCAGGGGAGCGAAAGGGAUUAGAUACCCCUGUAGUC